This is a long non-coding RNA of Oxyura jamaicensis (ruddy duck), 381 nucleotides long. RefSeq lists it as uncharacterized. Lineage: Eukaryota; Metazoa; Chordata; Aves; Anseriformes; Anatidae. The record is from RefSeq and is a predicted model, not a curated record. The transcript is spliced from 3 exons.
UUUCUGCCUCCUCCCCAGGAAGGAAUCUGCCCUUUUAGCAAUUGCUCUACACCUGCUUUGCCUCGGCGACAGAAGGGCUGCAACACCUGACCACCAUGAGGAGAUCUCCAGGCCAGCGCUUCGUCCAGCCACCACAAAAUGGCUGCUUGUGUACAGCAGCCCCCUGGUCCCAGGCAGCAAUUUCUCUCCUGCUGUGGGGGCACUGGAACAGCCAAGCUGCCUUCAUGGCCACUGGAUGAUGAAGGAAGGUUUAAUGGCCCCACGUUCGAGGCUGGAGAUGCCAAACAAACAUUUUUUGGAGUUGAGUGGAUGGAUGUGCUAUGGGAUCAGCUCAGGUUGAUGGGAGUCCUGCAGAUUUAGGUCCUCUGCAUCUUCAACACU